UCUCUCUCUCUCUUUACUGUGCCCAAGUUUGUCAACAAUGACUCGGCAGAGUGGAUGCAAAUGGCCGGCCAAGUGUCAAGGGGAGACCAUGAUAAAAGACAGAUGUCCUGCAUAAUGCUCAGUAACUUAAAUCGAUAGCGUGGCAGCAAGCCAACUUCAAAGAAGGUUAUAGGGAUUUACACAGAAACUACAAUAUCAAAUUCUGCAAGAAACCUCUCUCCCAGCAUGCUUAGCAAAGCAACAGAGGGAUGGAGCACACAGCCUUUUGGCUAUUUAGUGAGAGGAAGUUACAGGUCAGGGGACACAGGGGACACAGGGGACACCGCUCAGUGCAGCGUGGACCAUGAAGAGCGACGGUCGCUGGGUCCAUAACUUUAGUCCGCACCGAAAUAUCUCAACCGGUCUCUGAUAGAACGCCAGGAAGUUCUGCAUAGACAUUCACGGCGCCCAGAAGAUAGAUUCACAUUUCCUCCAGCGCCGUCAACAACUAUUGGAUGGAGGGCACUGGAAUAUGUCAGAGACCUCCUUUGUUAUGCUCCCCUCAGGAUUAUUUGCAAAAGCUUUGAUUGACUUUUAUUUAAAAAUAGGAUUUUUUCUCGAGGACUACUUCAGUUUAUGACCCUUUUAAUGAGAACUAAUGAAAAUCAUUUUUGUCAUUCUCACUUGUAUUUCGUGUUUUGCACAAAUUGACUGCGAUGGUGCAAACCUCCGAAUGUCAGUACCAGCAUGGUUGCAUAUCACUCUUAUCAUUUAGCUACAACCUCACAUUGUCAUUUUGAGAUACUACCUUUGCUCUGGUGUCUGAAGAACAUCUACAAAGCAAACAAAACGGUGCCUCAGUAAGAGAAAUAAACUAUUCAUUUGAAGCCUAUCAGUGUGCCUUGCUCUAGUGUUCUAACAAUUUACAAAGAAAACAACUACUCCCAAAUAUAUUAAAAUAAAACAUUUGCCGGGUGUUAUCAAAGACCGCACUGCCAUCACUAUCUCUACAUGAUAUGUCACAUUUAUAUUUGAAAUAGUGCUUUGAAAUGUGCCUGCAGAACCAAACCAGCAGGAGGCCCAGUUGACUUUUUUGAAAAGGUAACACCACUGCUGAUCGGAAACGUGCAGAGACACAGGGAGGCUCAGAGGGAGUGAAAUGUAGGACUUUUCGAAAGAAAGUUAUAAUGUCACAACAAAAUGUUCCUGCACAGUUACACAUAAUGCUGCUGCAUCGCCUCUCCAUCCAAUAGAGAGCAGCGAAGUGGCCAGGAAGACUGAUGUCACACAGGAUGGAGACACGUGUGCUCCACCAGAUGUGCCGGUAAUUAUGGGGGAAUGAAUAGUGAUGUUUUAAGAGGAGAUUAGGGGCAAUUACAGUGAUUCCAAGCACUGGAGCCGGGCCCCGAACGCACACCAACAUAAUUACCAGGCAAGAUCUCCCAUCUCACAGUAAGCACGACAGAUUUGGCAUGUUUGCAUAUUCAAACAAUGGCUUCUGUAAGAUGUUUAUCUUUCAAUAUUUAAAGAUCUUGAUUCUUUUAGUGCUUAAUUUUGCAUUUGGUCUGUGAUGUGUUGGCUUCUGGUGCCGCCGUUGUCGCUGUUAAUGACUUUGAAGGAGCUCGGUGAUAUAUUUAGCUGCUAAUCAGACAGAAUUAAUCUAAAGUCGUCUGGAAAUUUUGUUGCCGUCCAAUAACUUGCAGGAAUGUAUUGGAUAGCAAUGUGUGUGUGUGAGGGUGUAUCCACAAGAGGCCAAAACAGAGAUAUAAUUUCAUUUAAGAGGCACACUCAUCAAGUCUAAAUGAAGAUUAAUGAACACAUGAUGCAGGGUAGAAAAUAAUAAUAAUCCCGUUGUCUUAAAGGCUCUAAUUUGUCUGAGAACAUGCUGUCAUGCUACAGAGGGCUUAUUGCCAUUUGCUAUUGCAACUGCACAUUGCAAUGGAGACAUGGUGGGGGGGCAUCUGCAUGGACGAGCAAAGCCGCGAGCUGCAAGCGUGACGACGUAUGUGAUGAAGAGAAACAUUGGAGUGAGCAGGAAGGAGUUGCCGUAUGCGGAGGGAGCGCCAAUUCCCUAAAUAACUUGUUCAUUGAUCUCAGUAAUCAGAUGCAGUAUUGAUAGUGUUGUUCACACAAAGGACCCCGAUCCACUAAUAAUGAGUUGCAAUAGACUAAAGGAGGAAUAUACUGCAUUGCAGCUCUACAACGUACAGUGGAGAUAUAUAAUAUAGAACUAGCAAUGCUGCCCCGAAUCAACAGGAUGAUGAAACUUUCUAAAUAUUUCCAAAUUUUCAAAACCCACGCACAGAAGUGGCGCCGGCGGGAAUCCAACCAAAUAACUGCAUUCGCCACAUUCGCUGGAUCAUCUUCCCCACUCAAGCACAACCUGGAUCAAAAAUAAAGACAUUCACAUUUUAACGCGGUUAUCAAAAUGUGUAGGAUUCUGUAGCUUCAACGUGAUUGGCAUUCCCUCUGAGUCGAGUAUACAGCGGCUCACUGUCUCCUCAUGAGGUACAAGUGUUCUUAUGAGAGUCGACGUGCAGCGGCGAGCUGGCUAGCACGUUCAUUUCAAAAGAUAUCUCUGUGGGGGAAAAAAAGAUAGCUGUCUUUGAUAUAAUGUCAACACUAUAGGCUCUCGUUUUGAUAAUGUUGUUUAUCCUUUUAAUAUUUUGAAUGCUAUUUCUGGACAGAUCUUACACAUGCACGUUUAAAGAGGUGAAGAAACGGCCUACUUCAUUUCAUAAAUUACCCCCAAAAAAACGCUUUAUGUUUUUCUUCCUCUCUGAUUCGCAGUUAUAUUUAUAAUAUGAAGAUUCAGUUUCCAUAGACUCAAGCCUCCAGACCACCUCAACAGCGCUGUGUACAGCUUUGCUUGUUCUCCACCCACACCGAAUGAUCUUUACUGUAGAUAGAGCACACAGAAAUAGACCAAUCACUUCACAGAGACACUCACACACCGCCCUUCACACACACACACGUACACACACACAUAGACCUCUGUGUGUGUAUGUGUACGUGUGUGUGUGUGUGUGUGUGUGUGUGUGUGUGUGAGGGGGGACACAACACACACAGAUUGAAUAAACUCAUCAGUGAGUGAUACUAGAGCAAGUAUCUCACAAUACUAUAUCAACAAAGCAUGUGUGUUAAUUAGAUGGAAAUCUCCAUAUAUAAUAUCUCAUUACACAGUCGUGUUCAAUUUGAGAGGAUCGACCUGAGCCUUAUUCAGAGUUAUUCACAAAGAUAAAGGUCUGAAUCAAUGUCUACCUCCUCUUAUCUGUUAAGAGUGAUUGACAGUCACUGUUUUGGAGUGGCCGAUCUCAAUAGCACCAUCCUUGUGCACAUGGGAAAUACUAAACAUAAUUCUAUAGAUCCUCUCUAGUUUUCCAACCACUUCGAUGACAAGCAAUCACCUCCAUUCGUACACUGAUGACAGGUGCUACCUUGCAAGGUGACCUCUGCCCUUCAGGAUUAACCAAACACUUAUACCCAUUUAUACACAGAUGCCUCACUUUUGGGGAAAAAAAAUUGGGUUAGGUGCUUUUCUCAAGGACAAACCAAACUGGACCACUCCAUGUGUUUAGUGGCCCAGGAUCCAACCGCCAACCCUCUGAUAGAGGCGAGACCGGCCCUUCCCUCUCCGCCACAUGAGUUAUUAAUAACAGCCUGCUUGGGAUGCUCACGCAUUUGGCUCGGCCAACAACGCAGCUGCACUAUGUCUUAUUUGUGUGCAAUACCUGAGGUUUAUGAGUUCUGUCGCAGGGCCAGGAAAUCACGUCCAACCCAGAUGAAAUCAAAUGUGAUUCAAAAGGAAGGAGAGUGCGUUCGUAUUAUUUCCUGAGUCAUCACGCAUCUACUUUAAUACUUUCCGCUUGCCCCUCUUCACAAUUCUCCUUUUAUGCUCACUCUGUGUUUAGAAAUUGUUAGCCUUAUAUGAUUCUACUACUCGGCAUAAAAUAGAUUUGUAAAUGGAGAGACAGAAGGUACUGUGCCAGCAGUACGGUUUGGUCGUUGCACAAUCAAGCCAUGAGGGUCUUUAUUUGUCUUGUAGAUCUUGUAGGUCUCAUCAACUUGACUAUGUUACGUAAAUGGGCAACAUCCCCGGCAGCUCGGUUGAUCCUUCAACCAACCAGGAGUUCACCAUCAACUGGAACAGGGGGAGUUUAACUGCGAUGCUCGACUAAUGUAAACUCUGUAGGGGAACAGACCCCUGCAGGAAGGACCGUCGGUCUUUGUCCGCAACUGCAGAGGGCCGGCAAUAUGACAGCGCUGAGUGUAUUGAGGUGGUUGGCCAGCCUUCGUUUGAUGGUAAGAAGUAGAUGCAACACUAGGUUGCCACAGCUCUGGGUUUUGCCUGGGUAGAGUGGGAGGUAAUCUUUUCCUGGGCCUCCAACACUUUAGGCCCCUGAUAUGGGAAAAACAUGUGUCGUCCGGGAUCAACAACUGCACGGUAGCCUGUAUCAAAAGGCCGGGGCAGAGUCCAAUGCACUGCCCUGUUGAGCACGGCGAACAGCCUGUGGUUGCGGACCUUCGCGCGACAGUUUGAAGGCUCUACACAUUCCGAGACUCGAGUCAGAAAGCAGAAUCGGAUUCAAGACAUGCGUCUCUGCCAGUUUAACUUUGGUAGUACUUCUCUCCCACCUGUAGGGAGGCUGAAAUAGGCCGCACCAUGUCACAUGAGAGGGUGAGUGUUGAGGACAUGAGGGUGGAAGAACACAGGACUGGUGAACUGGGUCGGUGGUUGAGUUGAUCGUAACCCUUCUUUUAGAGGCACGGCCCUUGCCCCUUACCAGGGGGUACCGCCGCUCCACUGCCACCCAAUGAAAACAAUGAGGGGGAUGUUGAGCAGAGAUGUAUACUGCUUUAUGUGCUUCGGGGUUCGCACAGAACCGGGUGGACAUGAUUGGCCGACUACGCUUUCAAAAACUUUUAGUGGGGGUGUAUUUUUGCAACAUUGUGACCUUCUUUCUGAAUAGAGCGUCCAUGAGUGUUAUUUUCACCCUGUAUUGAAGCAAAAGUUCACCGAAGUGGUCCCAUUUGCAUUAAGGCACAAACAGUAAAAAUUCUGCUGCUGCCUCGCUCAUCACCGGGGAGAUAAUGUGUGGGUGGAUCCUUUGGGCAAUUUCUGACACCACCCGAGACGGAGAGAGAAGGUGAGAGAAAAAGGAGCCAGUGUGACAGCAAGAAAGAUCAUUGUUUGUGUGUAAUGGAUGCAAAAGCAAUGUCAGCUGUUGACAUCUUGCAUUAUCUUUUGCAGUAUACAGCUCUGUUGUAAAGUAGACUCAUCGCCUAAAAGUCUGUCUUUGAGUUAGACAGUCUGAAGGCGAGGGAGAGUCAUCUUAAAGGUGAAUGUCAGCGUGCCAGCGUUCAGACAUUAUGUUUGCCCAUGAAUAUAUAACAGGAUUUCAGCAAGUGAGAUGUUUGUCAAACAAUAAUUUGAUACAAAGGUGUGGAAAACAGAGGAGCUUGAUUCUGUGCAGCAACAAAAUCAGCCCCAAUACAUGAAUUAAAGCUUAACUGUCCAAUGAAAUCAUGUGGGAAUUGUGAACCAAAGAAAAGUGCAGUUGCGGUCACAUAUUGCUCUGCGUUGCAAUGUGAUGUGUACGUAUAAAACCUGUCCUGUGUGUAGAGCCACAACAAUCUAAUAAUGAAAUAAUCAUCCUAUCUUAUCUUAAACAACUUUCUACACUCAAACAAUAUUAAAAUAGUGCACACGGGUUGCACAGUAAGGCUUUAGUUUUACUACAUUAUUCUACAUUAUACUCUACAGAAGGAGUCAUUCGUACAGUACUUCAUAUUUAUUCAUAUUUUUAUGCAUAUUCAUAUUUAAAGAGUUAGAAAGACGUUGGGAUUCAACAUUGAACAUCACUUCAGAAGCACUGUCCUUUUAUUAAAGCUGCCAAGUUCACAAGCCCGACCACUCUGAGCCAGACGCAGGCGAGUUGAAUGCUUGCCUGUGACUGCAUAGCUCGCCAGUUAGGAACAAACUACACCCUUGGAGGGGACCAUUGGGAUGGAGCGUUGAAAUAACGACGUGCUAAUCCACAUGUAUGCGACCCGUGCUGGUUCUAGCCAUCCCGGGGGGCUUAACCUACACACAUCAUGCAGUCAGGAUUCCUGGUUUCCAACCUGGCGACAAAAAAAGUCAAACCUGAUCUAAUGCCGUCGUCCGCCUUCGCCAACAACGUUACAAUCUGGGCAAAUCAGUGUAGCAGUGUGACUUGAGUAGUCGUCCUAAAGCUCCAAGGUUUACCUUUGAAAAUACGCAACAUCAUCUCUGUUAGACGGAAUUUAUUUUAAUCGCAAAACCUCUUUAUGGCUUUUAUGAGCACUUUCUUUCGCACAUCAUUACUAUAUGCUCCAAUACCCUUGGUAGUUCCGACAAUUAUCUGAGGACACUUUGGGUUUUGCAUGUCUUUAGUGCGGCCUUGGUUGUUUCUCGAUUGUCUCUAUUGGAGUCUCAUACACUCACGUCUUUAACACAAGUUUCGAACCCAGAGAGGAAACCACACCGGCCCUGAUUUAUAGUUGAAAGGCCUUUCAUCCGCGAGGGGACGGAUAUGGAAACGUGUUGAUGAGCCAGCGCCUCACACCAUCACAACUGAUGUUUGUGGAGAUGCUCACACCUCAGGAGUGAUGAACCUGAGGCACAACAGCACCAUGGAUCAAACCUAGUAGCUUUGUCAGUAACAAGAUAUUGAUUUGGAUCCUUGCCAAAUAGAAUGAUGAUAUGUGUCCGCUUAGUUUGGCCAGCUGACAGAAGCAUUUUUAUUUUUGGAUUUCUUUAACUCCUCUCUUGCACUCCGUCUUUAGUCCCAACCAAGCCACAUCUCCCAUCUGUCUUCUCUCAUCCAUUUCAGAGCGCCUCUUCUGGUGUAGAAGGAGACCCGAGAGAGUGGCAGGGGCAUCUGGGACGUGACAUGGAGAUAAGGGUUAUAGUGCUCAACAGACAGUCUGUCUCUAAACUCUGAGGCCAGAUGGCCGCUGUCUGCCAGGGAGAUGGCCAAUCCCCCAGGUACACCGAUCCAAAUUCACACUCACAUCAAAACACAUUGAAUAAAUACACCAUGCAAGGCACCAUUAUCUCAACAACUGGUUUCUUGCAAAGAUCACAGGAGAAUCGGGGGAUCAAACAUUCCCUCAUUCUAACCGCAUCUGGUCUCUGGACACACAUCAACACACAUUAAAUAGAUAAACACUGUAUUUGCCUAAUGGCGUGGGUGAGGGGGGGGGGACCAGUUGAAACGGAGAGGUGACUGUAUGUUCAAAUCAACAAUGCCAGAGGUUAGUGGAGAACUCGAUAAUGUGUCUUCUUCAAACGAAGGAGACACAUUGUCCAGUUCAAAAAUUCACUGACGCGCUGAAAAACGCACUCUGGAUUUUCUCCAUGAAAAAAAAGGUUUUCGCUCUUCUCCCGACAGGCCCUGGCAUGGGUUUGAUUGACAGAUGGUUCAUCCAAUGACCUGCCAAGUAUUAUUUUAAAGUGCCUGGCCUUUUCUUACCAGUUUCCCAAUGAUGACGUCUCAGUACUGAGGAACAAACCAUCUGUCUGAUCAAAUUAGCGAUAUAAUGCUGUUCAACGCUAAAGGUAUACAGUCCCACAGACGUGUGCAUACUGACAUUCCUCAAUGCUUUGAGAGUUUUGUCAGCACUGCUGCAGAUUGAAUCUUCCAUGUCAGUUAAAGCUCUAUACAAGCGAGAUGUUCACGCCGUAUGUGUUUCCUGUGGCGCGGACGCAGUUGAGCUGUCCAUUCCGUCGCUUGGAAAACGUCGCGUCUAAGUCCGUCUUUGGUGAGAUCCGCCCCAAGACUCCCUAACCUUCUGUAAGCCCCCCAGAUCCACACACAGAUGGAGGCCCUCGUCUCUCCUCCUCCCCCUCCUCCCUCUAUUCUCCCAGGCGGAGCCGUUCAUCCUGCCCCCGGGAACAUAUGCGCUGCUUCUGGGAGGAGGUGCAGAAUCUCAUGUGCGGGCCAAAUUUCAGAUCUGGCAUAUUUCCCGAGGGGCUUUUUAUUGUUCGGUUGGACCUUCUGUUUUGAUGGACAGGCUUGGACUGAGGGCCCGCGUAACACGGAGCUACACAGCGACCUCUUCUGUGGCGCCAGACUUCGAGGGAAGUUAACGUGGGCACCGUCUUGCACCGCACACUGGAGGAUUAGCGCAGUGAAAAGGCAGCUGAGGUGCUUGUCUGUCAGCAGAUGAGGCUAAAUUGUUGAGCCCGGGUGAGUAUCAUGUGAGUUGUUGGCCCUUUCGGGUGGCUGUUGAAAGCCAAUUACCUCCUCUAAUAUUCCUUUUACUUUUUGAAUGGCUGAGGAUGAUUGAAUGCAAUUUCCACCCAGGGAGUGGACUAUUAAAUGGUUCCACCGUCGUCCCUCUUCUAUCAGCUCUUCAUUUAAUUUUUCUAAAGACGAAUAAAGAACUGAACAAGUAAGAUUACUAUGUUGUACUUCCAAAGGUAAUAAUGAAGUUAACCUAGCGUUGACAUUUGGGUGAUAAUACCUGAAUGUCAAUGUAUUAUCACUGUCUUUGUGCCUUCUUCUUUCUUUCGGAAACUCCUAAACUCCCUAAAAUAAAUGGCCUUGUGUCAUAGAGGCAGCUUUUCACACACGUCAGCAAACUACGAUGGACUUUUUAGUCUUCACUACAGCAGUGAGACUCCAUUUAACUCAGUUUGCAAACCUAUUGAGCAAGUUGAGAUCGUAUGACCACAACAACUGGAAAAUGACAAAAGCUUUCAGAGGACGACAGGAUGUAAGUGUCAGCUUAGUUCAGUUCAGUUUAGUGUCCAUCAAUCCAGAGGACAAAAUCAGAGAGACUUCACAGACAAAUGCUUUACAGUUGUACAUAUGUGCUUUUCAAUUCAGUAAGGAGUAAAUAUCCCGCAAGCUUUUGUUCAGUAAUUAUUAAAAACAACUGGAAGCCUGACAUUUAAAUGUUAUUAUUCAACAAUCAAGAAUGUUUAUACCGUAUGGCCAAUAUAUAUGUACUUUACUAGGUUAAACUGGUUAAAUAUGAAAUAGGAGCCCUAUAAUGUUCGUUAUAUAUAGGUCAAUCUGGCACUUGGCUGAGGUUCAUAAAGGGCAGAAAAUCGGUGAAUGUUGAAGUUGUAUAAUUUAUGUUCCUCUGUGACUCUCGCACGUCUGCUGUUGCGUAGCUUCCUGUUCCAACCAAUAAGGAGAAAAAAGAAGCCCUGGAGGAAUGAGAGACAUGUCACAACAACAGCUGAACCUUGCCUUCACUUAUUAAAUGUAAUGUGCACUGUAGCUGCUUGCUAUGAGCCAAGGGAGCAUUUAAGAGUUAAUUAUGUGUUGUAGAAAAAUAAACUUCAAAAACCAAAGAUUUUUUUGUUGCAUUUCACUGCAACAAAUUCCUCUGUAAUUAAGUGCAUUACCAUUUAUAUAGACCCUAGUCAGCAGUCAUAUUGAAAAGGAUUCUCUUGAGGACUUUGAGCCACAGAAACGUCAAUUGUUAACAUUUUCUUAAAAUGUCACGGCAAGAUGGUUCCUCAUGCAUUUAAAUGCAUUGCAUCAGAUGCAUAGUAGAUCGAUAUUAAUAGAUCUUCAAGGCAUUACUGUCGGCAUUCAACGAAUCAUCUUGUCCAUGUGUCCAUGUUGCUGAUACAUAUGGUGGUACUUAUCACAAUUAACAUUCAGACAUACUUGUAAAUAAAUCUGCAUAAGUGAUGACAGAGGAGACUGACACACACUAAUACACGAGGCUUGUUCAACAAUUACAAUGCAAUAUAAUAUGCAGUUUGCUGGAACACAACAUAAUGUGAUUGUGAAUUCAAUUAUCUUGUAUGCAUCGUAUAUAUUUAAGACAGAUGUGGAUUGCAUAUCUCUAUGUGUGUAGGCCACAUAACUAUGUGACAAAAUUAACUGCAUAUUAAGAUAAAUAUGUAAUUAUAGUCAUAGUGUGAAUGUUAAUCUCUAUAGUGUGUGAAUCUACAGUGGUUUAAAAAGAAACAGAGCAAAAGCUUUUCAGAGUAAAGACAAAGGCCUUCAGGUAAAUUUUGGUUUGAAAUGUGUAAAUACUGUGUGAGGAAACCAAUACAGAUAUGUACCCUUUAAACACCACAAUGUGGUGGAUGCAUCUUCAUCAAAAAAACACAUUCCGAAACAAAGUUGUUUGUACUAAAGCAUUCAAAUGAAUGUAAUCUAAUAAGAGACGGCAAACAUUUCUCUCGGGUCACUGCCGUCAUAACAUGAAAUUACCAGAAAACCAGAAGUAAUUGAUGUGCUUUCUCUGGCUUGUAGUGUUGCUCAAGCACAGAUUUAUCCUGCGUUUAUGAAUCAGAGCAGUGGUUCGCAGUCAGGGUCCCCUUUGAGAAUAUAGGGACAUUGUAAGACCCCCAAACAGGGUUGUUCCUUCUUUGUUUUGAAUUAAUUGCAUUACAAUAUAUUAACAAACUUUUUAAUUAAAACAAGUACAUAUCACUCUGCUGUUUUAUUACAUUUUGUAAACAUAUUUUCAACCCCCGGUUUGGGAGCCACUGCUGUGGAGGAGGGGUGCUGCCUCCGGUUGAGCCCAGAUCGUACAAGCCAUCGUGGUUCAUGACUAAGUGUGAUGCUAAGAGAGGCAGCAUGGAAAAUUACCCCACAGCAAAUUAACUCGGCAGAAUGUGAUUAAAAAUAAUUUUUGUGAAACUAAUUUGCACUUGCUGUAGCAUAAAAUUGAGGUUGCGUUUGAACAGUUGGUCCAAUUUUCAGAGGACCAUCAGGACUUUUGAAAAUUUAAUGAGGAUCCAAAUUGCCUCUUUUUCUCCCGUUCACAUCCUGUAUUUGGGACAAACCAAUGCUGUCUGUUAAAGAGCAGAAAGCCAUACAGAAGAAACAUAUUAAUACUCUGUACAGGUGGAUCCCAGAGGCAACAUCUAGGAAACGUUAGGUUUAUGGUUUCCUGCUUCGUUGGCCUGUAUUUUGCACAUAAAAUCAGGUAUUUAUGUGACUGCAGUUGAAAAAAUGCAAAGAUCCAGAAGAGUGCAUCUGAUAAAAAAUAAUGAGAAAAGGGAGGAUAGAAAAUGCCAUGUUGCUGUGAUCAUUGGUCUGGUGAUGACACGAUAAUCCCUGUGAGUGAGACGGCAGAGGUUACAGGUCAGCAAAGGGUUAAAUGGACUUCAACUCUAGACUUUUAAAACCACAGAGGAAAAAGGAUCAUUUUAAUCCUAAUAGCCAUUUGUUUAGAAAAUAAAUCACUGCAUCAUCCAUUCCACUCACUUAAUCUUUCCCAAAUGCCCAGACGGCUUUACUGGGGAGGAGAGUGAAAAUCCAUACCAAAUAAAAAAUACGAUAAAAUGUCAGUGAAUACGCAUGCGACUGCCUUUGAAAAAUGGCAGCACAAUUUUCAGGCAUCCCAGUGGAAGUAUUUAGGGGCUGGAGCCCUUUGUAACAUCAGUUUUGGGGAUCCACCAGCGAGGCCGGCACUGUGUGUGUGUGUGUGUGUGUGUGUGUGUGUGUGUGUGUGUGUGUGUGUGUGUGUGUGUGUGUGUGUGCUGUACCUUUUCCCUCAUGUGGCUGACAGAGAUUGGCCUACUUGAAGGGAGGAGAGUGGCUCUUUACGAGCUCCUCACGAUAAGGCAGGGAGACAUUAGGGUGACGGGUGUUCUCCUCGUGGUCAUUGUGUGGAAGAGGAAUGUUAGAAGAUGACAGCUGAGAGAGCAAGCAGAUUAUAAUCAUCCUUUACCUCAGUGCGGCCUCCAGCCAGCGGAGCGGCUCCUCUCCAGUCCUCUGCUGACGUCGGCGGUCCGUCUGAGGGGGCGGGAGAAGAAGCCAUGACUGAAUUUGAUUUGUUGGAGGUGACAUGUUUACCAGCCGGAGGACUGUCUCAGCCCAUAUAUAAACAGAAGGGCAGAUAAUUCACCAGUGAUUAUGCCCCACAGGGUCAUUAAUAUAUUAAUAGCUCAGUUAUGACCUAUGAACCCCAAUCAACAUACGAAUAAUAAUUCAAAUGACUCUUGCGUCUGCAGCUGAUUGAUGCCUUUUCUCUUUCGCUUUGUUGACAGAAUUGAAAAUGGUCACUUCCCCUUCCUGCAUCUCCCUAUAAUGGAAAUCAGGAGACAUUGUAAAUGCAUAUCAGCAAUGUUUUUUUUGUAAAUAUAAAAAGGUUGCACAAAUCUACGCUUAAAAACAAUUCCCAUAAAAGUAAUCAUUUGCUAUUUAGUCAUAACUAAAUAAAUAGUUUUUAUUUACGCUUUCACUUCUCCUAAUUGCAACCGGAGCAACUGUAUCAACUGGCAAUGAAGUAGGCGGGAUGGAUACGUGCCUUGUUACUGAUUAGAGAAAGACAAAACGGAGAAGCCGUCCUCCCAACACAAAAGCUGCCUGCUUGAACACAUGCUGAAUGAAUAAAGUGAAACAAAGCUUCAAUUACUGUAAGUCUGAUCCUCCGGGCUUGUGUCCAUGAAAAGAAAUCAACUGAACAAAAGUCUGUGCAUUCACACCAGAAUGUAUGUCUGCCUGCAACCGGCUCAGCCACUUCAUUCGUUCCGAGUACGUCACCCUGCACAGUGUCUCUCCCCUGUCGAGUCAUGUCUUACACAUCGCCGCACAUCUUACAGGUGUAUCAGAAAGAGCCGAUUCCGGAUCUGCGGUUGGAGGUAACGUGGCGCUUACAGCGAGUGAUCCACGGCGGGACACGUUUCUGCCUCGGGUCGGGCACCUUUAGUUGAAAGGGAUGUCUUAAAGUGAUGGAUAUGAGAACGUGUAAAAGCACCUGAGUCUGGGAAGGAACAGACGGCAGAGGAGCUUCACAAGAUUUGCGAAGUGAGUGUAGUUCAACUGAUACCAGAUGAGUCUUGUUGCUGCUUUACCAUUUAUUUUAAAUGUUCACACUCCGUCUUCUUCUUUCUGUAAUUUGUCAGAUUUAGACAAAUAUAAGAUUUUUCUGACAGCUUAAUUAGAGUGUGAGUAGACCAUGUAUGUAUAGUCAAUACUAGUGAAAUAUAAAUUUAUGUGGCAAAUAGUUGUGCGCGCUCGUUUCUUGCUCUUUAUCCAUCUGUGUUUAUCGCCUCACAUUCCUGCAUAUUUGUGUUCUGGGGUCGUAAACGCAGAGAUGCUGGUUGUUCAUAAGUGUGAGAUGUAUCCUUGUUUCUCACCUCAAACGACACUUAAAUCUGGAGAAACGUUUUCAUCCUCCAAUGAGGUGUUUUGUCCUGUUCUCUUGACCUGCUUUGCUUCAGACAUAAAAGAAUCCUUUGUGACGUGUUGAGCGGGAAUGAGUCUGAUUAGUUGGUGAAUAGGACGGAACAGAAGGACGCCACUGGUCACAGUACAGAAACGUGGCUAAAUGAACACUCCGAUAUGCCUUCCUCCAAGGUGAGUGCCUUUCAAAGUACACACACACAAAAUAUGGCACAAUUAUGUGCAAGUUGUAAUCUUUAUAAAAUUUGGAUUCAUUGUAUUUUUUGUUGUUGUUAGUGUAUUUUUAAUGAACGAAACAAAACAGCUUGACAUUCAAAAAAGGAUGUUUCAUAGGUAAGUGGCAACACGUAAUUAAACUACGGUAAAAUCAAUAUUGUCUUGGUUUCAACAGUUGCUCUUACAGUCUAAUAACGACGUGGAUGUUUUCAUUGGAGUCGGUUGAAAGCCCGGUGGAUCUCACACGGACGCCAACGUGAGAUGUUGUGAUGGAACUGACAGCAACUCAUGAACCCGCCCGUGUCUGCGCUCUCGCAACAAGCGCUCCGUCUCAAGGCUCGGCGUGCUGAUACCGCUACGUGCAUCACAAAAUUAUGACCACGACCUUUUUUGGUCCGUCCGCGAACAACAGAAUAUUGUCGGCUAAAUAGAUUUUGACAGUCGCCACUUUUUGUUCCCCAGCGUCCAGGGUCAUCUUGGACACGCGAGGGUCCCAGAGGGAGAGCGGCGCCACCGCGAGCCGCGAACCCAGAGUUGUGCUGGCGCCGCCGUGGGGGUCACCCCUCCGCUUCAGAGCCACGGGCCCGGCUGGUCUCAGCCAGUGCUGCUUUGCUCCUCUGUGACUAAGACGCUUCCACCCAGAGUUAAUUUUUAAUGACACACUUUGUUAUGUGGGUCCAUAGGGGGCCCUUGGUGGCGAUGCCUUAAUAAAGAGUCUCACUGCUUGCUCCCUUCUGAGAGGGCUUCAUUAAAUCCGGCAACGGAAGAGAAAAAAAAAAAGGUCUACGAUGAUCUAGAUUUGAGCCAAUCUGAACUUUAUAUUUCUCUUUCCAUCCGUCGGUCAGGCACUUUACAAAUUGAUUUUUAUUUUUCACAUCAAUGGCUGCAUUAAACUAAUACGCUAUGUUGAAGGACAGAUGAUGUGACCCCCCCCCACCCACCGCCCCAAAGGCUAUUUUGUAACGGUAGAGGAGAGAUUGUGUGUGUUUGUGGGUCCAUGGGGGAACGCAGGUUGGGGUACAGAGAGACGGUAUGCAGACACCAUCGAUCGCCAUCAAUAAUCCUUCAUUAUCUUUUCAUGUCUCAUCAGCACCACUAUUUGUAUCCCUCAGAAACAAGCCAGCAAACACAUGCCAAUUGUUUUGAAGGUGAACGCCUGUGUGAAGGGUUUAUUGUACAAUAAUAAAAUUGCCCGAUGCGGUCUACUUUCUGCAAGGUCAUGAUUUGACCUGGAUUCGUGACGAGAACACAUUUGGAUCUUUUUGUACAAGUUUCCUCCGUCUAUCCAAGUGUUCAUGGUUAUUUAAAAUAUACAAUAAUGGAUGCGCAUGGACAGGAAGAACCAGUUGCAAGGAACUCCAUAGAAAACUGUGGACGUGGAAAGCAUAAAUCACACUUUAGUCUAUGGACCAGAUUCAAUUUUGUUACAGAUUCAGAUUAUUUGCAAUGCGUAAUUUGCUGCAGCUUGCUCCUUUUCAUAUUACGGUGUGAGAUAAUUUGAUUCCACCGCACAGGGUAUGCUAAAUGAUUCCAGAGAAUUUGACAACUCUAUGAAAUAGAUACUCCACGUGGCACAUUAUUGGAAAGGUGAAUUAUUUCAGAUGUGGGCUAAGUGAACCCUCCAGGACCUGCUGGAGCUUCAUUGUGUGCUGCUAUGGAAACAAGUGGGAUUCAGUCUCAGUUAGUGUGUGUGUGGGGGGGGGGGCAUCCUUGCUGUUUUACAUGUAGCGAAUGUGCCUGUCGAAAGACAAACAUUGAGCUCAGCAUCACGGUCAAUCAGUCAGAAAGAGCACCGGACCUUGUGUGCCACCCUUUGACUAAAGUCAGAGGGCUUUACUGUUAAUGUAGCUGACUGGAGUAAACUGUGAGUAAAAUGAGGCUCAUCUCCAGCUGUGCAGCAAUGUAACAAUAUUAGAAACAGGUUCCAGAACCUGUUUCUAAUGAUGUAGAGGUAACUUUGAAGUGGAGUGGAGCUGCUCGUAAUUGUUGGUAAGACUUCUACUUCAUCUCCCUGCCAGAAUGAACACCUGCCUGCUGGCGUGUUGCUCUAGUAAUAAUCAAGGAGGGAAAAGGAACACAGCUUCGCUAGAGCUGCAGUCAGCCCGCAAAUUGAUAAAUAUUUUCGACAGUGCCUUUACUGGCUGAAGUUGAUUUAACAUUUGAUCGUUUGUGUCUUUCUCCUGCUCUCCCAUUUGCAAGAAGAUGCCAUUUUAUGAGAAUACGAUUAUAGAACAGCGUGAUGAGAAAACAAAAUGAAUGCUAGAUGGGAGAGAAUAUGAACAGAUUAGUGGUUAACUACAGUACAUGGGACUAGGUCACAUUGGUUAGAAUAUGAUGCUUCAUUAUUACCUGCUCAUCUAAAUCUGCUGCACGAUAUUGUAUUACGUCAUAAUUAAGGAAGCAGCAGAAGUAAUUCAAGGUGGCAAUUACAACCAUGUCAUAUUUCUACGAUGGCUUGAGACACGGUGGAUCACAUUUGGAGGGGAAAUAGAUAACAAAAUGAGGAAAUUAAAAGGUUACGAUGAAUUGUAUUUGUACUUAGAUUACGUUUAUGUGUUUUGUAUAUAGACGUCUGGGCCUGUAGGAGAUUAAAUUUGGCCCAUGAUUUUGGUGACCGUUAAAAGGUUAUAACAGACAGAAAGAUAUCAUUUGAACGGUGGAAUAUUUAAUUAACUUCAGAGUGAAAAUGGGGAAAUGUCAGAGAAGAAUAUUUUCUAGAUGCACAUCAGUAAAAUGUAACCAAGUACUCGUAUACUCUAUUUAAGUGAAAUUUUGUAUUGUAUAUUUAUGUAUUUACUUAUUACGGUACUUUAAUAAUAAUUGUACUGCAUAUUUAUUCUGAAUAAUUUUACAGAUUGAAUCCAGCCAUCUUCUAAGAUCACAUUUAUAUGUAACUAAGCUGAAGAAUCGAAAUUACACUUUUUUUCAUUCAUAAUCUCAUGCUCUGUGUUUAUUAUGCAUGAGUAUUUUUGCAGUCGAUAAAUCUUUACCUACUACUGAGCCUAACAGGAGGACAUCUGAAUGUCUCACCGAGGAAGCGGCGCUCUGUUUAGUCUCCCGUUAUUUCAUGUGAUUUGCACUCCUUCCUCACAGGCGGGACAGAGCUGAUUUGCCGUGUUCUCCCUUGUCUUUGUCAAUACGCCGGCCGCUCUGUGGCCCACUCACGCCGGCGCACAGCCCACCCAAACUCCCUGCGCUCCGUCCGCCUCGCAGCUCCUCCCCGGCUCACUCUGGGCCUCCUGCUCUGCGGCUUUGAACUUGAAUUUAGCUCACCUGCAGUCUCUUGCCCACAGCCCAUAUCCACUCUCCCGUCCCAUCACUCUCCUCCUCCCAAUCCCUUAUUCUCCCUCCCCUCCAGCUCCUCUCUGGGCUACAUGAUAACACAGCGCUUUACCCCGGAGCAGCCCAAACCAUGAGCAUAUUCACUCCGUCAUGACAGCGCUGUUGCAAAAAAAAAAACUGCUGUCACGCCGAGUUUUCCCUGCUAAUGUGGCUCCGGGCGCUCCGCUAGCCCGCACUCCAAAUACUGCGAUGGAGGCGUGUGGAGUGUUGCUCGGCGGGGCUGAGUAGCACAAUGCGCGGCAGGGCUUUGUCGCCGUGGAGGUGAAUGUAAGGAGGAUGUUUUAGAGGCUGUGAAGUUCCUCUCACAGACGAGAACAGUUUAGUUCCCAGCCAGGUGAAUGCGGCUCGACACGCGGCAAAAUGUGAAAACGCUCAAGCUGGCUCCUAUUCUCCUUCCUGCACCCUUUGAGGAGAGUGAGAGAGGAGGCUUCAAAGGCCUCCGUCGACACCCGGCACGGCUUUGAACCGUGUCCUUGGACUGUCACCUGGAAAGACAUACGCUCCCUUUAAUCACCCACCUGCAAACGUCAUGUAUCAAGACACGUACAACGAUAGCAAAGGCAUCUCAACACGCUGGGCCUCUCACACAUGUACACACAGUACACACACAACAAGCAUUCCCUCCUUCAGCUACAGUGAGGGACUGACGGCAGGAACAAGGAGUUUACCUCCCUCCACGUGUGCAGCUACACAAUCAAUCAUUGAGGUGCAAAGGAGGACAAAUCAGCCAAUUAGCACAUUUUAUUUGUGGGACGCAUGAAACUCCACCGCGUCUGUCUCGUGCAAGCCAGAGAUGGCCGUACUGUAUGUGUCAAAUGAAUGUCAGCCGCUCGCUUCCUCGUAGCGUUCACUGAUCUCUGACAGAGUUCAUUCAAUCAAAACCUUUUUUGAGAGUAGUUCAUUAUUUUGGGAAAUGUGGUCAUUCGCUUGUCAGUAUAAAUUAAAAGCUAUCACAAGGACGGAGAAUAUGGGCACACGGCUUGCCUGACUUUGUCCAAAGUCAGCUAAAUCUGCCAACUAGUAGUAUGUAUGUAGUACUUUUAACAUCCAACUUAUUUUUCCUCUUCCACUGAAGCAACACACCAAACCCAAUCAAGUCAUUUCAUUCGAAACAGGACAUAUUAACUGACAAAAAUCUGGAAUUGAAAAUGAAACAAACAUUUGACAUUAGGUGCACAGCAGGACAGAGUCUUUGUCAGUAUACCUCCCCUGAGACAUCAUCGUUUCACAGGGCUGUGAAGGAGAGAAGUAAAGACAUGUGUGGCGGAGUGGAGAAGGAUGGCUGAAAAUCGGGGUGGAUUUGACCGGGAUUUCUGAUAAGCUGGAUGGACCCAGCGGUCGGCUGGUUCCUAUCAAAUCACAUAGAUCAAGAGCGGUGUUGAAGUUUGACGGAAAUCAAUAUUUGACCCCAUUGCCAGACUUUUGAUUAGUGCCGGUGUUUAUGCCACUAAUUACGUUCCAACCCUUAGUUGGGGGCAUCAGGUUGAAUUGUAGAAGAAGAUCGUGACAUGUUGCGACCUGGGUUGCACAGCUCAUUGUGUUGCCUGUUGCGAACUUCCUUCUCCCUCCAACUUGCCAUGUGCCAUCUGUGUGUUUGCGUGAUGUACAAGUACGAGCAGAAGCAGGUCAGCAACGAAAUCAACCAAUCAGGCUGUUGGUGUGAUGGAAAAUACAGAAUUUGCUAAUUCAUGUCGCUGAUGAAUAUGCGCUCGGCUCCGGCGUUGGGGGCCAGGCUUAAAGGCACGGGGCAUAUGGGGAAUGAGGAGGGGCGCAGAUGCUCCUCAGGGCCAGAGGGCUGGUAAGCAAACUCAAGAGGGGCACUGAGAGGGGAGAGGAGGGAGGAGACGCCGGGGCGAACACGAGAGAGGAAGACGGAAUAUGAGGCGGGGGCAGAGAGAAAAUGGCGCGCUUAUACCUCGCGUCAAAAGUCAACUCUGGUCCCGCUGUGCAGAACCAACCCCCCCUCCCAAAAGUCUGGUCACAACCGGCAGCUCAAGUGAUGACGCUGCUUCAAGAAGUUCACCUAUGAGCACCAGGUGCGUUCCUCCUCUGACCUUCAGCUAAAGUAAACAGCUCACCAGAGGACAAAGGUCGGCACCCAGGCCAGAGGUCCAGUGUGACCUCACCAGAGAGCAACUCCACACACAACAAACAUCCUCAUAUCGAAAUGCCCAUCUACCCCGUCACCGAUGCCUUGUGCACAUGCUGCAGCUGCCCCUGCAGCAUCGGGAGGAUCUCAGCACCAUCUACUGGUGGCGCAGUGAAUAAGCUGUUCCGCUGCGGCCGAGGGGAAAUAAACACUAACUCAGUUCCCUCUAAUCAUUUUCUCCACCGCCUUUUGCCAAGCUCCCCUCUUUGUAUUUACACCUCCUUGGAGCCAAGAAACUAAUCUGACGUGAUUAGUUACACUUGCCAGUGCAGCAGUAUGGUAUCUUGUAUCAUUCACAAAGACCUUCUUUUAUAUCAAAGGAGGAGGAAGGUAGUUUCCAAUUUGAUUUGAUGCAAAAUUUGAUACCAGCACAAAAUGCUGGUAGAAAAGCUAAACGUGUAAUGACAAACAAGUGGACACAUGAUCAACUUUUAGGCUGAAAGGGCAUAAAUGCUUAACGUAACUAACAUCCUCACUCUGUGAUUGGCCUCCACCAACUCCUGAAUGAAAUAUCUGGCUCUUUAGCUGCUGAAUGCUCCGUUUUGUUCACCGGUUGCUGGUCUGCCAUGUGGUGCUUUGCAGGCACAGCGGGACACGAGAGUCGCACUGGUGCACGCUGUGACGCGGUAAACACAAUCUGAUGGAUGAAAUUGGCGCAGAGCCACACUAAUGCAACCGCCAUCACCAAUAAGUCAACAUCACAGCGUUUGCUGUGCAAUGAAUUCAGUUACUUCCGCCCAAGUUCCUAAUGUUUGUUAACGUGACACCUUGACAUCCCAAAAUGCAUUUCCUUCCCUGAUGGUGGUAGUCGAAGAGAUCUUUAAACGCCACCUCAGGACACAUGAAGAAAUGACCGACUUGUGGGAGAUUUGUGCUGUGAAUGCACAUCUGACAAAACAAGGCAGUCACUGGGGGGGAGCAUGAAGCUGGUAUUCCCAUUGUUUUGAAGAAACACAAUGUCGAUGCAGUGCUGCUCUGGCAGUGUUUCUCUAUUCCUAUCACAGCCGACAGCGGAAGAGCAAAGAAUAAUCAAAUCUAUUGUGUAGCUGCUUGUGUAACGCUCCUCCCAACAGCAAGAGCUCGGCACGCUUCCUCAGGUUAACGCUUUAGUUGACGUAUAAGAAUAUUAGAUGACGCUCAGCCUUUCGAUGCCGGUUGGUGGUUUCUGAUAACAUUGGCGGAAAAUUUGUCAGCCGUGUGAGGCGGGGGACUUAAAAUCUAAUAAAAAAUUAAGAUACAUUUAUUUAAAAAAAAAGGUACCAGCAAUGCCACCUAGUUGACCAGCCACUGCUGCUGAUCCGUCCUGCCCUUUCUUCUAGAUUCCGGUUCCGUUCCUUUCCUGAGCGAGGUGUCCCGUCCGUCUCGUUCCUCUCCUCGUUUGCACCCCGCAUGCUGUCUUGCCGUCCUCUCGCUUGAUUUCACUGUGUCUUCUGCUCUCCGGUGGCUUCUCCUUUCUGCCGUGCUUAGUGUCCUUUAUAGCAGUUGUGUUAAUUGGAGAGGGGAGGUCCUUUCAUUGUGUAAUGUGGUUGGCCAGGGCUCUCUGUAAUUGAUUAGUCCCUCCAGGUGCAUGUAGCUUACUGAAAGGUGGGUUAAUACGUAAAAAUGUAAUAAAACGAACCAUGCUAAACUGUAAUAAAACAAGUUAUGCUAAAAUGUAAAACCAAACCAUGCUAAAAUAUAAUAAACGAAUAAUUUACAGAAACCACAAUGUCCCCCGGUGACAAAUAUAUCCACAGGUAAAGCAGGGACUGGAUAAAUGUCUCUCUGAGUCCGUGGAUGUCUGCAUUAGUUUAAGGCUCGCUCAUCCGGACUAUUACAGACAGACACAUCGGUUUGUUAUCAAUGGGAACAGCUGCUCAAGAACUGCGUGUAAAAUGGUAAUGAGCAGCGAGGGCCCGCAGAGAACACAAGACAAAUCUUUUCUCUGGGGAACAUGGUUUCAGAAACCCCAGCGUGGUCCCUCACAGUCCCUUCCUCCACCUAGAUGAGAAAACGAAUUACCGCUGAAGGUGUGAAGGACUUCCUCCUUCCUCCUGCAGUCAAUCAGCGGCACGUGGGCGUCUUUGUCAGAGUAAUAAUGCGUGACGCUCUAAUAAAGUUAUCGUUGCCAGCAUUUUGUUGCAGUCAAGAAAGUUAGUUCAUCCAUUAGCAUAUGAGAGUCAGUGUUUCUCUUUUAUUAAUGAGGAGAACAUGGUGUUCUGGUGGAACAGAUACUUCCUUCGUAACGUCACACACACACACACACAGUUACAGGGGGCGGUAGUGAGGGGCUAAUAGCUUCUCCAAGGAUGAGAUCCGACCUAAUUUGCACCAUGCAAAUUCCCCGUGGGGACAGCACCUACAGGAGAAGCAUAACAACCCUCAGCGAGCGCCUGCGGUGUCCCUGCACGCUGUGUGUGUGUGUGUGUGUGUGUUGCUUUUGGGGAUGGAAGGAAUCGAGAGCGAGAAAUGGAAGUGAUAUGAAAAAGGAGAACAAAGGGAAAGGAGAAGAGAUGUGAUUCAAUGCCACUAAUCUCUUUGAUAUCCACACUGUGACGUUCUGUAUCAGGCUGAGAAUUUCCCAAAUUAUUCUUUUCGUCUUUUAUUCAUGACCUGCGGGACCUCCUGACUUACCCUCUUACUGCUUUGCUCUGAAGUUAAACCCAACCUCCAGCCCUUCUCUCCCUCGCCCUCCCUCCCUC
Long non-coding RNA from Gasterosteus aculeatus aculeatus (three-spined stickleback), 21497 nucleotides. Lineage: Eukaryota; Metazoa; Chordata; Actinopteri; Perciformes; Gasterosteidae. The record is from Ensembl.